RNAcentral lists this ribosomal RNA (759 nucleotides) under uncultured bacterium. RNAcentral describes it as "bacterial SSU rRNA". It matches the Rfam family "Bacterial small subunit ribosomal RNA", at positions 11 to 781 of the family's 1533-position model. The record is from RNAcentral.
GUUUGAUCAUGGCUCAGGAUGAACGCUAGCGGCAGGCCUAAUACAUGCAAGUCGAACGGGAUCGGGGGCUUCGGUCCCCGUGAGAGUGGCGCACGGGUGCGUAACGCGUGAGCAACCUGCCCGUCCCAGGGGGAUAGCCCGGAGAAAUCCGGAUUAAUACCGCAUGAGAAUGCAGGUCCGCAUGGGCCUUCAUUUAAAUAUUCAUAGGGGACGGAUGGGCUCGCGUGACAUUAGCUGGUUGGCGGGGUAACGGCCCACCAAGGCGACGAUGUCUAGGGGCUCUGAGAGGAGAAACCCCCACACUGGUACUGAGACACGGACCAGACUCCUACGGGAGGCAGCAGUAAGGAAUAUUGGUCAAUGGGGGGAACCCUGAACCAGCCAUGCCGCGUGCAGGAAGACGGCCCUACGGGUUGUAAACUGCUUUUGCACGGGAAUAACCCCCGGUAUGUAUACCGGGCUGAAUGUACCGUGAGAAUAAGGAUCGGCUAACUCCGUGCCAGCAGCCGCGGUAAUACGGAGGAUCCGAGCGUUAUCCCGGAAUUAUUGGGUUUUAAAGGUGCGUAAGCGGCGCGCUUAGUCAGGGUGAAAGACGGUGGCUCAACCAUCGCAGUGCCUUUGAUACUGGCCGCUUGAUGUACCUGAAGUAGCGGAAUGGGCAAGUAGCGGUGAAAUGCAUAAAUAUGCCCCAAAAACCCAUUGCGAAGGCGCUUACCAAUACAUUGACCUUAGCACGAACCUGGGGUACGAAAGGAUUAA